RNAcentral lists this ribosomal RNA (1034 nucleotides) under Enterococcus hirae. RNAcentral's name for it is "partial 16S ribosomal RNA". It matches the Rfam family "Bacterial small subunit ribosomal RNA", at positions 1 to 1005 of the family's 1533-position model. Lineage: Bacteria; Bacillati; Bacillota; Bacilli; Lactobacillales; Enterococcaceae. The record is from RNAcentral.
UUUUAUGAGAGUUUGAUCCUGGCUCAGGACGAACGCUGGCGGCGUGCCUAAUACAUGCAAGUCGAACGCUUCUUUUUCCACCGGAGCUUGCUCCACCGGAAAAAGAGGAGUGGCGAACGGGUGAGUAACACGUGGGUAACCUGCCCAUCAGAAGGGGAUAACACUUGGAAACAGGUGCUAAUACCGUAUAACAAUCGAAACCGCAUGGUUUUGAUUUGAAAGGCGCUUUCGGGUGUCGCUGAUGGAUGGACCCGCGGUGCAUUAGCUAGUUGGUGAGGUAACGGCUCACCAAGGCGACGAUGCAUAGCCGACCUGAGAGGGUGAUCGGCCACAUUGGGACUGAGACACGGCCCAAACUCCUACGGGAGGCAGCAGUAGGGAAUCUUCGGCAAUGGACGAAAGUCUGACCGAGCAACGCCGCGUGAGUGAAGAAGGUUUUCGGAUCGUAAAACUCUGUUGUUAGAGAAGAACAAGGAUGAGAGUAACUGUUCAUCCCUUGACGGUAUCUAACCAGAAAGCCACGGCUAACUACGUGCCAGCAGCCGCGGUAAUACGUAGGUGGCAAGCGUUGUCCGGAUUUAUUGGGCGUAAAGCGAGCGCAGGCGGUUUCUUAAGUCUGAUGUGAAAGCCCCCGGCUCAACCGGGGAGGGUCAUUGGAAACUGGGAGACUUGAGUGCAGAAGAGGAGAGUGGAAUUCCAUGUGUAGCGGUGAAAUGCGUAGAUAUAUGGAGGAACACCAGUGGCGAAGGCGGCUCUCUGGUCUGUAACUGACGCUGAGGCUCGAAAGCGUGGGGAGCAAACAGGAUUAGAUACCCUGGUAGUCCACGCCGUAAACGAUGAGUGCUAAGUGUUGGAGGGUUUCCGCCCUUCAGUGCUGCAGCUAACGCAUUAAGCACUCCGCCUGGGGAGUACGACCGCAAGGUUGAAACUCAAAGGAAUUGACGGGGGCCCGCACAAGCGGUGGAGCAUGUGGUUUAAUUCGAAGCAACGCGAAGAACCUUACCAGGUCUUGACAUCCUUUGACCACUCUAGAG